AGGCAUCAUGAGGACUGUGGACUCUAUCCAUGAGACCAGGCUGCAGAGGAUCUAGGCUGCUGCAGAUUGCAUUCAGGGCACAGACCUGAGGGCUCUGCCCCUGCUUGCAGAUCAUCAUGCAGAUCUGGCCCUACCUAAGCAUGAUCAUGGAGAACAAGGUGCGGGAGAAGCUGGAGCCCAAGAUCCGGGAGAAGAGUGUCCACCUCAGGACCUUCACCUUCACCAAGCUCUACUUUGGACAGAAGUGUCCCAAGGUGAAUGGUGUCAAGGCACACACUGACAAAUGCAACCGAAGGAAAGUGAC
RNAcentral lists this long non-coding RNA (304 nucleotides) under Cricetulus griseus (Chinese hamster). Its description in RNAcentral is "lncRNA (ENSCGRG00000024942.1)". Lineage: Eukaryota; Metazoa; Chordata; Mammalia; Rodentia; Cricetidae. The record is from RNAcentral.